RNAcentral lists this long non-coding RNA (1045 nucleotides) under Marmota monax (woodchuck). Lineage: Eukaryota; Metazoa; Chordata; Mammalia; Rodentia; Sciuridae. The record is from RNAcentral.
AAAUCAGCCAUGGUGAAGAUUUCUGGAGAAGCCCAGUUAAGACUUUUCUGUGGAGAAAGGGGAUUCCACUACACUACUAGUUCCUUAACUGUUCGAUCAGCAUGUCUGCAGUUUCCAAUGAUUAAGCCCACCCUCAUUGUAAACUUUAAAACUCAUACCCCUUUUGUAACUGAAGGCCAUUUUUCUACCCAGAAAAGGAGCCCUUACAAUGCCUGAUUGAUAGACUCCACUGUGGAAUAAAGGAAAGCUUACUUUUCCAUUUGAGGUCUGCUUCCAUCCUAGUUAUUUGUGUUUUUAUAAUGGUGUUGAAACCAUGUUGGUUAUUUUUGCUUACAGUCUCUCCUGAUGAAUAAUACACUGAACAGCCAAAAAUUCAUUUUUUACAUUCCCAGAAAGUGAGACAAUUGAGGAGCCUCAGAUUUUUUUUUUUUUUUUUUUUGGUACCAGUGAUUGAACCCAGGGGCACUUAACUACUGGUCACAUCUCUAGUCCUUUUUUUAUAUAUUUUAUUUGGAGACAGGGUCUUACUGAAUUGUUUUGGACCUUGCUAAAUAGCUGAGGCUGGCUUUGAUUCUGCAAUCCUCCUACCUGAGCCUCCCAAACAGCUGGGAUUAAAGUACCCAUUAGUAUAUGGAUAGGUACUUCUGAGGGUACUUCUAUUAUUUGUUCUCCCACAACAUUAAAAUGCCAAAAUAUUUCCAGAUUAGGUGUGUUAUGUGUGACAUUUUCUCUUCAGGUAUCAAUAGUGAACACAACAAGGUUUUGUGCUUCAAACAUUGCAUGUUGUCCAUUUCAGCUCAUCAUAGAAAUUAAAAAUAAUUUUUUUGUAGUUGUAGAUGGACAGAAAGCUUUUAUUUUAUUUGUUUAUUUUUGUGUGGUGCUAAGGAUCAAACCCAGUGCUUCACACAUGCUAGGCAAGCACUCUGUCACUGAGCUACAGCCCCAGCCCCACAAAUAUACUUUUAAAGGGACCAGGGUCAUUCACGGUUGUAGCUGUAGGCUUCUUCCAAGAGGAGUGGCAGCACCUGGACCCUGCUCAAAGGAC